RNAcentral lists this ribosomal RNA (254 nucleotides) under uncultured bacterium. Its description in RNAcentral is "partial 16S ribosomal RNA". It matches the Rfam family "Bacterial small subunit ribosomal RNA", at positions 524 to 776 of the family's 1533-position model. The record is from RNAcentral.
UACGUAGGGGGCAAGCGUUGUCCAGAUUUAUGGGGCGUAAAGAGCUCGUAGGUGGUUCGGUAAGUCGGAUGUGAAAUCUCCAGGCUCAACCUGGAGGGGUCAUUCGAUACUGACGUGACUAGAGUUCGGUAGGGGAGUGUGGAAUUCCUGGUGGAGCGGUGAAAUGCGCAGAUAUCAGGAGGAACACCCGUAGCGAAGGCGGCACUCUGGGCCGAUACUGACACUGAGGAGCGAAAGCGUGGGGAGCGAACAGG